RNAcentral lists this ribosomal RNA (462 nucleotides) under uncultured bacterium. RNAcentral describes it as "partial 16S ribosomal RNA". It matches the Rfam family "Bacterial small subunit ribosomal RNA", at positions 28 to 506 of the family's 1533-position model. The record is from RNAcentral.
GAUGAACGCUGACAGAAUGCUUAACACAUGCAAGUCUUUGGCGAAGCUGUGCUUGCACAGCCUAGCCAAGGCGGACGGGUGAGUAACGCGUAAGGAACUUGCCCUGCAGUCAGGGAUAACAGACGGAAACGACUGAUAAGACCUGGUAAAGUCAGGCGGACUCAUGUCCAGCCUGAUGAAAAGAGAUGCUGCAGGAGAGCCUUGCGUCCUAUUAGCUUGUUGGUGGGGUAACGGCCCACCAAGGCGAUGAUAGGUAGCCGGCCUGAGAGGGUGGACGGCCACAAGGGGACUGAGAUACGGCCCUUACUCCUACGGGAGGCAGCAGUGGGGAAUAUUGGACAAUGGGGGCAACCCUGAUCCAGCAAUUCGGUGUGCACGAUGAAGGUUUUCGGAUUGUAAAGUGCUUUCAGCAGGGAAGAAAAAAAGGACGGUACCUGCAGAAGAAGCGACGGCUAAAUACGU